UCCGGUGUGUCUAGUGGCUAGGAUAUUUGGCUUUCACCCAGAAGGCCCGGGUUCGAUUCCCGGCGUCGGAA
RNAcentral lists this transfer RNA (71 nucleotides) under Rhipicephalus microplus (southern cattle tick). Its description in RNAcentral is "tRNA-Glu". It matches the Rfam family "tRNA". Rfam says of the family: Transfer RNA (tRNA) molecules are approximately 80 nucleotides in length. Their secondary structure includes four short double-helical elements and three loops (D, anti-codon, and T loops). The record is from Rfam by way of RNAcentral. Lineage: Eukaryota; Metazoa; Arthropoda; Arachnida; Ixodida; Ixodidae.